CCCUUAGAUGUCCUGGGCUGCACGCGCGCUACACUGAUGUGUCCAGUAAGCACCUAACCUCUUCCGAAAGGAACGGGUAACCUUUGCAAAGCACAUCGUGAUGGGGAUAGAUUAUUGCAAUUAUUAGUCUUGAACGAGGAAUUCCUAGUAAGCACAAGUCAUCAGCUUGUGUUGAUUACGUCCCUGCCCUUUGUACACACCGCCCGUCGCUCCUACCGAAUGAAUGUUCCGGUGAGCUCUUCGGACUGCGCGGUCUGCAGUUUCUGCGUUCCGUGCGGAAAGUUGCGCAAACCUUAACAUUUAGAGGAAGGAGAAGUCGUAACA
This 324-nucleotide ribosomal RNA is filed under the name uncultured eukaryote. RNAcentral's name for it is "partial 18S ribosomal RNA". It matches the Rfam family "Eukaryotic small subunit ribosomal RNA", at positions 1470 to 1796 of the family's 1831-position model. The record is from RNAcentral.